This 214-nucleotide long non-coding RNA is filed under the name Mytilus galloprovincialis (Mediterranean mussel). Lineage: Eukaryota; Metazoa; Mollusca; Bivalvia; Mytilida; Mytilidae. The record is from RNAcentral.
GGGGGGAGGCGGGUUUCCAUAUCUGACCGGAAUGUCUGUUUCGCCGAUCUGAUAUAUUGAAUACUUUUUUUCAAACCAGACUGCACCUGCCUAAUGGGUGUGUUGCCAAUUUAUCGACUGGCAUUAAUAAAUUCGUUCUCAUUUCAGACUCAUUCGUAACACUUUUGGUUGAUUUGGAACCCCUUACUUUUCGUGUUUGGGUGAAACUUUUCAA